RNAcentral lists this transfer RNA (71 nucleotides) under Rhipicephalus microplus (southern cattle tick). RNAcentral describes it as "tRNA-Asn". It matches the Rfam family "tRNA". From Rfam's summary of the family: Transfer RNA (tRNA) molecules are approximately 80 nucleotides in length. Lineage: Eukaryota; Metazoa; Arthropoda; Arachnida; Ixodida; Ixodidae. The record is from Rfam by way of RNAcentral.
GCGUCGGUUGUUCAGUGGUAGAAUACUCGCCUGUUACGCAGGUGACCCGGUUUCGAUUCCCGGCCGACGCA